AUUUUGGAAACAAUUGAUAUCCCAAAAGCAAAUAAAGCCAACAAUGACAAGGAUUAAAGAAAGGUUAAAGAAAAUCAAUGAUGGCAAGCAAUUUCGUGUCGAACUGAACAACAAGAAUCCCCAAACAACUCCAAAGAAACCUACAAGGAAGACACCGAAAGCAAGUAGUAGUUUUAGUUUUGGAGAAGCCUCGUAGAUGCACAACCA
Pieris napi is the source of this 207-nucleotide long non-coding RNA. RefSeq lists it as uncharacterized. The transcript is spliced from 3 exons. The record is from RefSeq and is a predicted model, not a curated record. Lineage: Eukaryota; Metazoa; Arthropoda; Insecta; Lepidoptera; Pieridae.